This 357-nucleotide small RNA is filed under the name Pan troglodytes (chimpanzee). Its description in RNAcentral is "retained intron". Lineage: Eukaryota; Metazoa; Chordata; Mammalia; Primates; Hominidae. The record is from RNAcentral.
AACUGUGUAAUUCGCUCGAAAAAGAAACGAAGACAAUGUAUAUACAAAUAUGCAAGAAUCACAGGAAACCCACAUAUCCAACCACCUAGAUGAAGUUGUUGCUGCUGUUAGCAUCACUCAUAGAAAGAAGUUCCAAAACAAGCUGCUUCAGACAGCACUAUUCCAGCCUCCUCGAGAGAAACUCCACCUCUGUGAAGAGAAAGCAAAGUCCUAUUCCAACAGUCAUGAGGUAAGGAGACUUUUGUUUCUGUAUUUCUACUCUGAGAAUUGAGCUAUAUGGUAUAAUCAAGAGAAGUAGAAUGUUUUGGAUUACAUUCCUAAUCUCAGCAGUUUGAUACAAGAAAGUAUAUAAGACAG